Molecule: transfer RNA, 66 nt
Filed under: Marmota monax (woodchuck)
Lineage: Eukaryota; Metazoa; Chordata; Mammalia; Rodentia; Sciuridae
Description: tRNA.Undet
Source: RNAcentral
GGUUGUGGCUCAGUGGUAGAACGCUCGCCUAGCAAUGAGAGGCCCUGGGUUCGAUCCUCAGCACCA